Sinocyclocheilus grahami is the source of this 376-nucleotide long non-coding RNA. RefSeq lists it as uncharacterized. The transcript has 4 exons. NCBI's taxonomy places the organism in Eukaryota, Metazoa, Chordata, Actinopteri, Cypriniformes, Cyprinidae. The record is from RefSeq and is a predicted model, not a curated record.
UUUAGCACGUGCUACCAAACCAAAGCAAGUUAUUCCGACAAGCUGCUGAUCCGCAAGUCUAAUCUGUGGGGUGACGCCACCUGUCUGAAGAUGGCCAUGGCCACUGAUGCCCGUUAUUUCUUCAGCAAUGAUGGAGUACAGUCCCUGCUGUCUAAGAUAUGGUGGGGUGACAUGGAAAGAGGAACAGAGCUCUGGAAACUCGCGCUGACGAUGAUCAUUCCUCCUCUCGUCUACACCAACCUCAUCGAUUUCAAGUCAGAAAAAACCAGAGUAUACAACAGUGAAGGCGAUCACGAGGACUCAAAUAACAUCAGGUGACCAACAAAAGGUACUGCUACAAAUUCCCAACCCAAGAAGCGCCCGUUUUGGCUUUCCC